AGGAUGAACGCCGGCGGCGUGCCUAACACAUGCAAGUCGAGCGAUUUACUUCGGUAAAGAGCGGCGGACGGGUGAGUAACGCGUGGGUAACCUGCCUCAUACACAUGGAUAACAUACCGAAAGGUAUGCUAAUACAGGAUAAUAUAAGAGAUUCACAUGGAUUUCUUAUCAAAGCUCCGGCGGUAUGAGAUGGACCCGCGUCUGAUUAGCUAGUUGGUAAGGUAAUGGCUUACCAAGGCGACGAUCAGUAGCCGACCUGAGAGGGUGAUCGGCCACAUUGGAACUGAGACACGGUCCAAACUCCUACGGGAGGCAGCAGUGGGGAAUAUUGCACAAUGGGCGAAAGCCUGAUGCAGCAACGCCGCGUGAGUGAUGAAGGCCUUCGGGUCGUAAAACUCUGUCCUCAAGGAAGAUAAUGACGGUACUUGAGGAGGAAGCCCCGGCUAACUACGUGCCAGCAGCCGCGGUAAUACGUAGGGGGCUAGCGUUAUCCGGAUUUACUGGGCGUAAAGGGUGCGUAGGUGGUUUUUUAAGUCAGGAGUGAAAGGCUACGGCUCAACCGUAGUAAGCUCUUGAAACUGGAAAACUUGAGUGCAGGAGAGGAAAGUGGAAUUCCUAGUGUAGCGGUGAAAUGCGUAGAUAUUAGGAGGAACACCAGUAGCGAAGGCGGCUCUCUGGACUGUAACUGACACUGAGGCACGAAAGCGUGGGGAGCAAACAGGAUUAGAUACCCUGGUAGUCCACGCCGUAAACGAUGAGUACUAGGUGUCGGGGGUUACCCCCCUCGGUGCCGCAGCUAACGCAUUAAGUACUCCGCCUGGGGAGUACGCUCGCAAGAGUGAAA
RNAcentral lists this ribosomal RNA (844 nucleotides) under uncultured bacterium. Its description in RNAcentral is "bacterial SSU rRNA". It matches the Rfam family "Bacterial small subunit ribosomal RNA", at positions 26 to 899 of the family's 1533-position model. The record is from RNAcentral.